GCACGUAGAGCAGCUAGGUGGGCUCCGGAGUUGCAGGUGCUGCGGCUCCGCAGCUGCUCCGGCUCCGGGACUCUUAGAGUCCCUUCGCGUGCCUUCUAUUGAAGAGCAGGAACUGACGGUUGUUUUAGGCCUCUCAAUUCCAGAAAGUUUCCUGGGGACCUGUCCGGUCGGAAAGUCGAGGGGCAGUUGUCUUGUAUUUGAAAAGGGGGUAUCCAGUGAGGCGGAGCUUGAGGGGGGUUGUGUCGAGUGAUUGAUACAGCUGUCAACCAAUAAGGCUACUAUCGCUCUCCUCAGGAAAAUCAUCACAACUCCAGCUGGAUGUGCGCAUAAUAGUGUAAUCACUCAUGAUUCUAUUUUGUUUAAUAAUUCGUUCUUGAGACUAGACGUCUCGAAAGCGAAGACUGGCACUCCUCAGUCUGCCACGGACGGCUCGCAGGCCGAUACUGAACAGAAGUACCCUUAUCAAGGAGGCGUCACCCCUGGGCAAGCCUAGCAUCAGUCCAUUGACACCCACAGUCACCAUGAUAGACGUUCUCCCAGACCAACAGCUUUCUUUGGUUCGAGGCGGGUCUUACGUGAAGGGCCUAUGGGAUCUACGCCGGCUCAGCCAAUAGGGUCAGGGCAGGGGGCGUGGCGGGAAGUUUGAAACUCGUAACUUCGGGAGUUGAGCCACGAGCUGUUGUGCAUCCAGAGGUGGAAUUGGGGCCACGCAUUCCCUCCUCGUCCCGGGCUGGCCCUUGCCCCCACCCUGCAACUCCUGGUUGAGAUGGGCUCAGCCAAGAGCGUCCCAGUCACACCAGCGCGGCCUCCGCCGCACAACAAACAUCUGGCUCGAGUGGCGGACCCCCGUUCACCUAGUGCUGGCAUCGUGCGCACUCCCAUCCAGGUGGAGAGCUCUCCACAGCCAGGCCUACCAGCAGGGGAGCAACUGGAGGGUCUUAAACAUGCCCAGGACUCAGAUCCCCGCUCUCCUACUCUUGGUAUUGCACGGACACCUAUGAAGACCAGCAGUGGAGACCCCCCAAGCCCACUGGUGAAACAGCUGAGUGAAGUAUUUGAAACUGAAGACUCUAAAUCAAAUCUUCCCCCAGAGCCUGUUCUGCCCCCAGAGGCACCUUUAUCUUCUGAAUUGGACUUGCCUCUGGGUACCCAGUUAUCUGUUGAGGAACAGAUGCCACCUUGGAACCAGACUGAGUUCCCCUCCAAACAGGUGUUUUCCAAGGAGGAAGCAAAACAGCCCACAGAAACCCCUGUGGCCAGCCAGAGCUCCGACAAGCCCUCAAGGGACCCUGAGACUCCCAGAUCUUCAGAUGGAAGCCAAACAGCAGCAAGGUACUAGGGAGAUCCCCCCUCACCAUCCUGCAGGAUGACAACUCCCCUGGCACCCUAACACUACGACAGGGUAAGCGGCCUUCACCCCUAAGUGAAAAUGUUAGUGAACUAAAGGAAGGAGCCAUUCUUGGAACUGGACGACUUCUGAAAACUGGAGGACGAGCAUGGGAGCCAGGCCAGGACCAUGACAAGGAAAAUCAGCACUUUCCCUUGGUGGAGAGCUAGGCCCUGCAUGGCCCCAGCAACGCAGUCACCCAGGGCCUGGUGGUAUCUGUGUCCUCUCAGCCCUUCUUUCCCAGGGAUCCUGAGGAAAGGCUUGUUUCCUUAGACUCCUCAACUACCAAACUGGGACUCAGCUUUAUGGGGCUUUCUUUGUGUCUUGUGUGUUUCUUUUAUAUUAAAGGAAGUAAUUUUAAAUGUUACUUUAAAAAAGUAUAUGUAAACCUUGCACCGAG
Nomascus leucogenys (northern white-cheeked gibbon) is the source of this 1787-nucleotide RNA transcript. It is a transcript of the gene named cell division cycle associated 3, with no coding region annotated. Lineage: Eukaryota; Metazoa; Chordata; Mammalia; Primates; Hylobatidae. The transcript has 6 exons. The record is from RefSeq and is a predicted model, not a curated record.